This 83-nucleotide transfer RNA is filed under the name archaeon. RNAcentral's name for it is "tRNA-Leu". It matches the Rfam family "tRNA". Rfam says of the family: Transfer RNA (tRNA) molecules are approximately 80 nucleotides in length. Their secondary structure includes four short double-helical elements and three loops (D, anti-codon, and T loops). The record is from RNAcentral.
GUGGGGGUGCCGGAGUGGUCAAACGGGCUGCCUUUAAGCGGCAGUGGCUUAUGCCUACGCAGGUCCGAAUCCUGUCCCUCACA